GUUUACAGCACAUGAACUUUGGGGGACACACUUAAACCAUAGUGCCGUCUUCAGUCUGAGAAGAAUUUCUGUCUUUCAUUGAAGUUCCAAAGGCUUCUUAUUUUGAUGACUUUGCCUAAAGAAGGGAUUCUACAGCCAAAUGCUUUCUUUUUAACAUACCGAAUGAGUAAAAGUGCAAAAUAAGUACAGAACUAUCAAACAGCAACAAAUGUGCUUCUGCUGCCUACCACAGAAUUUUCCUUGCCUCAGAGUUGAUGAUGAAUGCAGUCCUGCUCCACUUUGAUUCCAUCUGGCUCUGGAAGGUGUUUCUGAAGAUUUGUGAACAGCAUUUGAAUUUGUUUGUUUUUAUUUAUAUUGUCUUUUUACUAUGAUGUAUAAAUAUGUCCUGUAAUGUCAUUGAUCUAUAUGAUGAGUGAGACAAUCAAGUGUUAAAAUGGAACUUGUUGAUUAGGAUAUUUAUACCAUAGUUUAGUUUUCUUAAGAAACUCUGACAGACACGAUAUUUAAAAUGACUAAAUUUACACUUUGACAUAAGGCUACUAAAAGGUAGAAUAUACCAUUGAGAUAUGCCACUUGAAAAAACUACUUUUAAAAAAAUGGCAUUACUGGUGUCAUGAAGAAAAGAAAUGCUUUUAUCUCAACCCUGGUUUCAAAAAUUUGUGUAAAAAUUUUCACCUCAAUAAAUAGUUUACUUCUGUGUAGAAAAGGAGACUUAUG
This 717-nucleotide long non-coding RNA is filed under the name Homo sapiens (human). Its description in RNAcentral is "non-protein coding LINC02491:6". Lineage: Eukaryota; Metazoa; Chordata; Mammalia; Primates; Hominidae. The record is from RNAcentral.